This 233-nucleotide long non-coding RNA is filed under the name Lathyrus oleraceus (garden pea). RNAcentral's name for it is "Pisum sativum (pea) long non-coding RNA (PSAT_LNC010681)". Lineage: Eukaryota; Viridiplantae; Streptophyta; Magnoliopsida; Fabales; Fabaceae. The record is from RNAcentral.
CUUUUCUCUUGUAUUUGUAUUUUGGUUUUUGAAAUUGUACUUAAUGUAAUCCUUCCAAAUUUUUAUGAAUGAAAAUAAGAGUUUAUGGUCAAUUUAAAAUGUUAUUAUUGAUUAUUAUUAUUAUUAAAAUAUUUGCAAGUAAGACUUUGUAUGUUCCUUGAAAAUAAUAAAACCAAAAAAUAUUGCAUUCAUGCAUCAUUUACAUCUCAUGCUUCUUGCAUUCUAGCCCUUCG